Drosophila melanogaster (fruit fly) is the source of this 1149-nucleotide non-coding RNA. Lineage: Eukaryota; Metazoa; Arthropoda; Insecta; Diptera; Drosophilidae. The record is from Ensembl.
CAUAAUCAAAAAUCAAACACCAAUUUCAAAUACAUAUACAAUAUAUAUUUCUCGCUUUUUUGUUCCACCAUCAUCGCCAACUACAACUGCUAAUGACGACGACACCUUGGUCGAAACACAUGCUCCUGGGCCCCCGAUUCCAUCGUCAUCAUCGCUCUCUGGAUACUGGACAAAUCGAAAACAUCCCACUAAUUUUUCCAUAUAUGUCCAAAGUGGUACACAAACGGCAAACGGCAAAUCGGCUUUGAUUUGUGUGGCAAACUUGGCGCUUGUUAUACAGCAUUUUUGCGUCUCUUAAAUGCUGCAUUUUCCUCUGCAUUUGUUGCUCUUUAGUUUAAAUGGCUUAUAUGACUUAUAUAUGGGUUUGUAAAGAAGUCUAUAAAGAUGACAUUGUGUCUUGGCUCUUGAGUCUUGUAGAACAUCAUUGCAUUAAGCUUUCUUCAGGAAUUUUAGGUUUAAAAAUGGCUUAGCUUACGAUACUAUUUCUUCACAUUUUGCAGUUUAAGCUCUCAAUGAAUUAAAACUCUUAUCAAGUUUCCACUUCAAAAUUAAUAUUUCUUUAAAAUGCCUAUACCAAUUAAACGUGGCUUACAAAAUCCAACACCAGAACCCAAAAUAAAUUACAAUUCUUAUGUUGCCCAUAUCAGAUCUUUGUAUAUUGUAAUGUCUAAUGGCUUAUUUCCCACUUGUCAUAUCAAUAAUCUCGAUUGGAGCCUCACCUUCAUUACCUCAUCAAUUAUUUCAAGCAAAUGCAAUUCAAUUAGGAAGUGCAUUUAUAAUCACUCAAGUCGAACUGUAAACUCCAAUUUAAGUUGUUGAAUUAUAUUUUGAAGUAGAUUUCAAAUCAAGAAAUUGCCGUUGGCGCCAACAAGUCCAACAAAGGCGUUAAACUGUUGGAAAUCUUCCUGAAAUAAUUAACUAUUGAGCUGAAAAGCAAUUGAAAACACAAAAAGUGUUUUACAGAUGGAAAUCUCGAGCAAUUUUCAGACCCAGCAUAUCAUUUAUUACGGCCACCAAAAAAAAACCACUUGUAAUGCUUGAAUUUAUUUUCACAAUUCAAGGAGGCGUGUUUUUAGAGGGUGGGGCUAAGCUAAGUGAAAUCUAAUUGAAUAAACUUGUAUAAUAAAACCAAGCGAAUUAUAUAUUCAU